Molecule: transfer RNA, 77 nt
Filed under: Candidatus Saccharimonadota bacterium
Lineage: Bacteria; Candidatus Saccharimonadota
Also listed under: 2 other names
Description: tRNA-Val
Rfam family: tRNA
About the family: Transfer RNA (tRNA) molecules are approximately 80 nucleotides in length. Their secondary structure includes four short double-helical elements and three loops (D, anti-codon, and T loops). Further hydrogen bonds mediate the characteristic L-shaped molecular structure. tRNAs have two regions of fundamental functional importance: the anti-codon, which is responsible for specific mRNA codon recognition, and the 3' end, to which the tRNAs corresponding amino acid is attached (by aminoacyl-tRNA synthetases). tRNAs cope with the degeneracy of the genetic code in two manners: having more than one tRNA (with a specific anti-codon) for a particular amino acid; and 'wobble' base-pairing, i.e. permitting non-standard base-pairing at the 3rd anti-codon position.
Source: RNAcentral
GGGCGCUUAGCUCAGCUGGCUAGAGCACUUCGUUUACACCGAAGGGGUCGGGGGUUCGAGUCCCUCAGCGCCCACCA